AUUGAACGCUGGCGGCAUGCUUUACACAUGCAAGUCGAACGGCAGCGCGGGCUUCGGCCUGGCGGCGAGUGGCGAACGGGUGAGUAAUGCAUCGGAACGUGCCCAGUAGUGGGGGAUAGCCCGGCGAAAGCCGGAUUAAUACCGCAUACGACCUGAGGGUGAAAGCGGGGGACCGAAAGGCCUCGCGCUAUUGGAGCGGCCGAUGUCAGAUUAGCUAGUUGGUGGGGUAAAGGCUUACCAAGGCGACGAUCCGUAGCUGGUCUGAGAGGACGACCAGCCACACUGGAACUGAGACACGGCCCAGACUCCUACGGGAGGCAGCAGUGGGGAAUUUUGGACAAUGGGGGCAACCCUGAUGCAGCCAUGCCGCGUGCGGGAAGAAGGCCUUCGGGUUGUAAACCGCUUUUGUUCGGGAAGAAAUCAUCUGGGCUAAUACCCCGGGGGGAUGACGGUACCGGAAGAAUAAGCACCGGCUAACUACGUG
RNAcentral lists this ribosomal RNA (484 nucleotides) under uncultured bacterium. RNAcentral describes it as "partial 16S ribosomal RNA". It matches the Rfam family "Bacterial small subunit ribosomal RNA", at positions 29 to 507 of the family's 1533-position model. The record is from RNAcentral.